UAGGACUAAAGUCACUCAAACUCCACCUAAACAUAAAACAAUAGUAUAAAAAUUAUGCCGUCUGUAUUGGGUUUGAGUGACCAGGAUGUGGUAGCAGGAGAGGGACUACAGGAGUGGCUUCUGUGAGAAGCUACCAGAAGCUUUCCCUAUGGCCAACAGAGCCAACGCCAGCCAGCUCCAGGAUGAACCUGCCACUGGCCAAGGCUGAGCCAAUCAGAGAUGGUGUUUCUCAUACCAUUUGGAACCCUGUGUAGAACUGCAGUACUUUCACAGUCACAGAAUCACAGAAUGAGUAAGGUUGGAAGGGAGGCCUAUCUGCACUGAGUAUGGAAGUCAGCAGAGGAUUAACUUGGG
Molecule: long non-coding RNA, 354 nt
Organism: Chiroxiphia lanceolata (lance-tailed manakin)
Lineage: Eukaryota; Metazoa; Chordata; Aves; Passeriformes; Pipridae
Exons: 4
Source: RefSeq, a predicted model, not a curated record